GUCGGAUUGGCGGAAUUGGCAGACGCAGCAGACUCAAAAUCUGCCGGGGGCAACUUCGUGUGGGUUCAAGUCCCACAUCCGGCA
RNAcentral lists this transfer RNA (84 nucleotides) under Candidatus Merdinaster equi. RNAcentral's name for it is "tRNA-Leu". It matches the Rfam family "tRNA". Rfam says of the family: Transfer RNA (tRNA) molecules are approximately 80 nucleotides in length. The record is from RNAcentral. Lineage: Bacteria; Bacillati; Bacillota; Clostridia; Lachnospirales; Lachnospiraceae.